Molecule: ribosomal RNA, 301 nt
Filed under: uncultured bacterium
Lineage: Bacteria
Description: partial 16S ribosomal RNA
Rfam family: Bacterial small subunit ribosomal RNA
Source: RNAcentral
CAGCCGCCGCGGUAAUACAGAGGGUGCGAGCGUUAAUCGGAUUUACUGGGCGUAAAGCGUGCGUAGGCGGCUUCUUAAGUCGGAUGUGAAAUCCCUGAGCUUAACUUAGGAAUUGCAUUCGAUACUGGGAAGCUAGAGUAUGGGAGAGGAUGGUAGAAUUCCAGGUGUAGCGGUGAAAUGCGUAGAGAUCUGGAGGAAUACCGAUGGCGAAGGCAGCCAUCUGGCCUAAUACUGACGCUGAGGUACGAAAGCAUGGGGAGCAAACAGGAUUAGAUACCCGGGUAGUCCCUGUCUCUUAUAA